CCGGGGAGCCGGGCAGCCGCGUCCUUCGACAAGCUCAGGAUGAGCGAGGCGAGGGCCGAGGAAAGUCCGGGCUCCACGAAACAAGGGUGGCGGGUAACGCCCGCCGGGCGAGGGGGGCUUUCAGGCCUUCCGAAGCUUAGGGAAAGUGCCACAGAGAGCAGACCGCCAACCCCGCUCAUCCUGAGCUUGUCGAAGGAUCGAACGGGGAGGUAAGGGUGAAAGGGUGCGGUAAGAGCGCACCGCGCUGCCGGUAACGGUAAGCGGCAAGGUAAACCCCACCCGGAGCAAGACCGAAUAGGGGCUGCGCGCUGGCGCUGCGAAAGCAGGAGAUCGGCGGGUUCGUUUCGAACCCAGGCAGCCCGGGUUGGUCGCUUGAGCGGCGUAGCAAUACGCCGCCUAGAGGAAUGGCUGCCACCGCGGCGUAAGGUCCCCCGGACUUUGGUUCUAUGGGGAGACCACGCCAGGAACAGAACCCGGCUUACAGGCUCCCCGGCGCA
RNAcentral lists this RNase P RNA (497 nucleotides) under Novosphingobium barchaimii LL02. RNAcentral describes it as "Novosphingobium sp. LL02 Bacterial RNase P class A". It matches the Rfam family "Bacterial RNase P class A". Rfam says of the family: Ribonuclease P (RNase P) is a ubiquitous endoribonuclease, found in archaea, bacteria and eukarya as well as chloroplasts and mitochondria. Its best characterised activity is the generation of mature 5'-ends of tRNAs by cleaving the 5'-leader elements of precursor-tRNAs. The record is from Rfam by way of RNAcentral. Lineage: Bacteria; Pseudomonadati; Pseudomonadota; Alphaproteobacteria; Sphingomonadales; Sphingomonadaceae.